Rhineura floridana is the source of this 1139-nucleotide long non-coding RNA. RefSeq lists it as uncharacterized. NCBI's taxonomy places the organism in Eukaryota, Metazoa, Chordata, Lepidosauria, Squamata, Rhineuridae. The transcript has 3 exons. The record is from RefSeq and is a predicted model, not a curated record.
CAUAGUCAAAUGUCCCUGGAAAGAAUGUGAACAACCAACUCAAAAUGACCUGAGCUUCCACCAUUUGAUCCUAUGGGCCCUCGGAUGUCCUGAAUUGCAGAAUCAUGACCUGGAAGGGACCAAAAAAACCACAGACUCCAACCUCUGGGUUCAAGGUACUCCCCUGAUGAAGAGCUUGUGAUGUGCUGAAAGCCCCCCUGAAUACUUUUCAGUACAAAACAGAUUUCUUCUCCUGUUCAAACUGCUUUGUGCUGCAUUUGGAUUCAUGGCUUGGCUAUCUUCAUUUGGGCAAACCCAUGCCACUCAGCAGCCUGUUUCUAGUGUUGACAAUUUGUGCUGCCCCAAAGCAGGUUUUCAGACAUUCUGCCUUCAGAAAAUGCUCUCCACUUCAAUUUGGUCUGUUCUGGAAUUGCUCCACGGAUUGUCAGCCCAAGGAUCCCUUCACAUUGCAGAGAAUUUAGGGGAAUGUUCCAGGUCAAGAUGGUGGCAACAUUUGGAAGUGGGAAUUGGAAUACAAACUCCCACAGUUAAGCCCAGUUUCUAAAGGACUCUGCCACACCUGCCAUUGCAUUCCAGUGUCUUUCCCUGUAGCUACAGGGCUGCUGCCUCUCCAUCCCAAUACCUUUCCCAAGCAAAUUUAUGUGAAAUAGAGACAACUGGUGUCAGUGGUAGCCGCAUUGAUCUCAUCAUUAAGCUGUGGGCAUUUGCAAACAUUCUUGGAAGUAUCAUCUUCUGCUGGGGUGCAUGGAACAUGGUUUCCUGCGCUUCCUGCUGGGAGGCAGAGGAAAUUACAAACUAUACCAAGUGUGGUCAAGAUCAGGCUACUGCAAUGAAGAAAGAAUGGAAAAAACAAAUGUUAAGGAUGACCUUUCCUUCUAACAGUGGUAGCUGUGGUUUGUACAAUUGGUUAUUCCACACUUCUGCUCAAUAUUGCAGUGCCAUAUGUUAUUCAUAGCUAAAAGGACUAAUCAACAGAAAAUAUUUAAUCACUUAACAGCACCUGAGAUAUUUUUUCCUCUCCAUGGGCCAUAAUCCUGCCAAAAAUUCACAAUUUGGCUGCACGCACACACCAUUUUAUUCCAGAAUUAAUGGAAACUGAGUUCUUGUCCUCUUGUUCUAGGUAGUUCUUUUCUACCAAG